GGCUGGUCUGAUGGCAGUAGGUUAUCAGAACUUAUUAACAUUAGUGUCACUAAAGUUGGUAUACCAACACCCCACUGCUAAAUUUGACUGGCUUUAA
Unclassified non-coding RNA from Cavia porcellus (domestic guinea pig), 97 nucleotides. It matches the Rfam family "Y RNA". Rfam says of the family: Y RNAs are components of the Ro ribonucleoprotein particle (Ro RNP), in association with Ro60 and La proteins. The Y RNAs and Ro60 and La proteins are well conserved, but the function of the Ro RNP is not known. Lineage: Eukaryota; Metazoa; Chordata; Mammalia; Rodentia; Caviidae. The record is from Ensembl.